CGUGGUUUUUUUAAUCAAUUCAAUACACAUGCAUUGCGCCUUUUGUGUUUUUUCAUAAAGUACUGUAUAUUUAUGACCCGCAACGAAGUUGUCAGUGCCAUAUAGUUUUACCCUUGUCCGUCAUUCCGUCUAUCCGUAAUUCCGUAAUUCCGAAAUUCCGUCAUUCCGCCAUUCCAUCAUUCCGCAACAAACCAUUAUACGGAGUUUUUUUUCUAAACGCCUUCAGAUAUUGGGCUGAUUUUUUAUAUGUAAGUUAACUAUGAUGAGUUACAGAUCUAGUUUAAGUUUUGUUCCGCUCCGCUCAUUUUUGCCGAAAUUACGGUCUUUGGACUUUGAUAAAUUGUUGAAUUAUACGGACUUUUUUCUAAACACUUUCAGAUAUUGAGAUGAUUUUGGUGAGUUAACCAAGAUGAGUUACAGAUCAAGCUAAAGUUUUGUUCCGUUCGGCUAAUUUUUGCCGAAAUUACGGACUAUGGACUUUGAUAAAUUGUUGAAAAUCACAGUUAUACGGAUUUUUUUUCUUAACGCUUUCAGAUAUUAUGCUGAUUUUUAGUAUGCAAGUUACUCAUGAUGAGUUGCAGAUUAAAUUUAAGUUUCGUUCCGCUCAGCUUAUUUUUGAUCUAAUUUUGGGCUUUGGACUUUGAUAAUUUUUUGAAAAUCACAGUUAUACGGACCUUUUUUCUAAAUGUUUUCAGAUCUUGGGCUGAUUUUUGGUAUGUGAGCCAACCAUGAUGAGUUACAGAUCAAGUUUAAGUUUCGUUCAGCUCCGCUAAUUUUUGCCAAAAUUAAGGGUUUACAACUUUGAAAAUUGUUGUAAACUACAGUGAUAUGGACAUUUUUCUAUACUCCUCCAGAUCUUGAGAUGAUUUUUGAUAUGUGAGACUACCAUCAUGUUUGUGUCCACUUGUGUUAUUGAAAUUGCAGAUUUUUCAAAUUUUUAAGAUGGGGCCAUUCGUGUCGCUUUGACACAUCUAGUUUCUUUAUAUUAUUGCACAGUAAUGUUGAGGAAGUUGAACCAUUUAGACAGACAUAUUUUUUGUUCGGAUUUGUUUCGCGUUUUGAAAAUUAAGCGAUUUUUUUCACAGAUUCUGAACUAGAAUUUACAUUUAAUGUCUUUCACGGUCCGGUACCAGAGCUUUCACGAUCGUCUCGCAAUACUUGACCAACGUUAGAUAUUCUUUCACAAUCAUUUCUCUCGUUAAACCGAAUGUCACCCGUGUACGUAUUCUAGUCAUUCAAAAAAUAAUA
Molecule: long non-coding RNA, 1248 nt
Filed under: Mytilus galloprovincialis (Mediterranean mussel)
Lineage: Eukaryota; Metazoa; Mollusca; Bivalvia; Mytilida; Mytilidae
Source: RNAcentral